UGAAUACGAGAUGCUACGGCGUCGAAGCAGUCUAUGUCAUACUUCCAAGAAAAGCAUGCACUGUCAUAAACAAAUAAUGCCUGUACCAUAACCGACACAGGUGGGUAGGUAGAGUAUACUAAGGGGCGCGAGAUAACUCUCUCUAAGGAACUCGGCAAAAUGACUCCGUAACUUCGGGAGAAGGAGUGCCUUAUUUAUAAGGUUGCAAUAACAAGAUCCAAGCAACUGUUUACCAAAAACACAGGUCUCCGCUAAGUCGUAAGACGAUGUAUGGGGGCUGACGCCUGCCCAGUGCCAGAAGGUUAAAGAAGUUGGUUAGCAUCCGCGAAGCUGAUAACUGAAGCCCUGGUGAACGGCGGCCGUAACGAUAACGGUCCUAAGGUAGCGAAAUUCCUUGUCGGGUAAGUUCCGACCCGCACGAAAGGCGUAAUGAUUUGGAUACUGUCUCGGAGAGGGGCUCGGUGAAAUAGACUUGUCUGUGAAGAUGCGGACUACCUGCACCAGGACAGAAAGACCCUAUGAAGCUUUACUGUAACCUGAAAUUGAAAUUGGACUUUACUUGCGCAGUAUAGGUGGGAGGCGUUGAGAAUAUUCUUGCGGGAUUAUUGGAGCCAUCAGUGAGAUACCACUCUUGUAAUGUUAGAUUUCUAACUUUGUAUCAUUAUCUGGUCAAAGAACAGUUUCAGGCGGGCAGUUUGACUGGGGCGGUCGCCUCCUAAACGGUAACGGAGGCGCACAAAGGUUUCCUCUGAACGGGUAGAAAUCGUAUCUAGAGUGUAAAGGCAUAAGGAAGCUUGACUGUGAGACCUACAAGUCGAGCAGGGACGAAAGUCGGUCUUAGUGAUCUGACGGUGCUGAGUGGAAAGGCCGUCACUCAACGGAUAAAAGUUACUCUAAGGAUAACAGGCUGAUCUCCCCCAAGAGUUCACAUAGACGGGGAGGUUUGGCACCUCGAUGUCGGCUCAUCGCAUCCUGGGGCGGUAGUACGUCCCAAGGGUUGGGCUGUUCGCCCAUGAAAGCGGUACGCGAGCUGGGUUCAGAACGUCGUGAGACAGUUCGGUCCAUAUCCGGUGUAGGCGUUAGAAUAUUGAGGGGAGCCUUCUUUAGUACGAGAGGACCGAGAAGGACAUACCUCUGGUGUACCAGUUAUCGUGCCAACGGUAAACGCUGGGUAGCUAUGUGUGGAGUGGAUAACCGCUGAAAGCAUCUAAGUGGGAAGCCCACCUCAAGAUAAGUAUUCUCAC
RNAcentral lists this ribosomal RNA (1244 nucleotides) under metagenome. RNAcentral's name for it is "bacterial LSU rRNA". It matches the Rfam family "Bacterial large subunit ribosomal RNA", at positions 1564 to 2817 of the family's 2925-position model. The record is from RNAcentral.